RNAcentral lists this ribosomal RNA (397 nucleotides) under uncultured bacterium. RNAcentral describes it as "partial 16S ribosomal RNA". It matches the Rfam family "Bacterial small subunit ribosomal RNA", at positions 523 to 918 of the family's 1533-position model. The record is from RNAcentral.
AUACGUAGGGGGCGAGCGCUGUCCGGAAUGAUUGGGCGUAAAGGGCGCGUAGGCGGCGCGGUAAGUCUGGAGUGAAAGUCCUGCUUUCAAGGUGGGAAUUGCUUUGGAUACUGCCGCGCUUGAGUGCAGGAGAGGUUAUCGGAAUUCCCGGUGUAGCGGUGAAAUGCGUAGAGAUCGGGAGGAACACCAGUGGCGAAGGCGGGUAACUGGACUGCAACUGACGCUGAGGCGCGAAAGUGUGGGGAGCAAACAGGAUUAGAUACCCUGGUAGUCCACACUGUAAACGAUGAAUGCUAGGUGUAAGAGGUAUCGACCCCUUUUGUGCCGGAGUCAAGACAAUAAGCAUUCCGCCUGGGGAGUACGGCCGCAAGGUUGAAACUCAAAUGAAUUGGCGGGG